GUAUAUCAGUGUUUUAUUAAUUGUUUAUAUUUUUAAUAAUUUUUUUGAUUCAUAAAAUUACUUUAUUUCAUUAAAUUUGAAAAAUGAAAAGGGUAAAAAAGAGACAAAAUAGACAAAAUUGGUUUUAUACCAAAGAGAUAACCAUGCUAUUUUGACCAAAUCGGUCAAUAAAAUCGGAAACUAUUUAAUCGGCCCAAUAAACCGACUAGGCAGCCCGUCAAACUGAUUAAUUGGCCCAUAAUUUUACUAUACAAAGAUAGAUAUUUUGGGCUUUACUUGAAGCCCGAUAUCUUAACAAUACAUUUCACGUUGAGGACACAAUAUAUAGAGCGCAUUUCCCUUCUUUUUUCUUCUGUAACCGAUGUGGGACUCUUGUACUUUAACAUUAUAAUGCGAAAGUACAAUAAAAUGCACAGAUGGGGCGUCGAAGCCAGGUAGCUUAGCGUGAUAGCAGUGGUCUUGACCACUAGGAGACAAC
This 478-nucleotide long non-coding RNA is filed under the name Brassica napus (rape). RNAcentral's name for it is "long non-coding RNA (BNAP_LNC013223)". Lineage: Eukaryota; Viridiplantae; Streptophyta; Magnoliopsida; Brassicales; Brassicaceae. The record is from RNAcentral.